Molecule: long non-coding RNA, 2643 nt
Organism: Equus asinus (donkey)
Lineage: Eukaryota; Metazoa; Chordata; Mammalia; Perissodactyla; Equidae
Source: Ensembl
CGAGGACUUUUGUGCAGUGAUUUACCAAGGGAGGACUCUGAGUGAAGGAGGCGGGAAACAAGGAGGCUAAGAAGCGUGUGGGUUCAGCUGAAGUCUGGCCUCAGCCUGGUCCCGCAGGAGCUCAGAACAGGAUGGUGCCACAGACUUGAACCACCACGACCAUGGACUCGGGGCUUUUGUCUCCUGCAUCAGUCAGUCAUUGCCUGCAGCCCGCCCCUGUAGUGAGGGCAUAGUCUCCCACUAUUUCCAGGUGAGGCAGUACCCCAGAGAAGGGUGGAAACUGUUAGCAGCCAGCACCCACAGCAGCUUGGAGGUGAGUGUCUCACCUGAGUAAAUGGGAUCUUGGGAGGCCGACAGCAUCUACUACACCAGCCAAGGCUUAGACUUGAGGUCGCUGUCUCUCAAAGUUGAAAAGAGAGAUGAACUAGUGUUAGAGAGAUGAGAGACCUGUUCUCACCAAAUAGAGACCUUCUUCUUAGUGCCAGCAGAUGACUGGAAAGAGAGCUGGUGAGAGAGACUAGCAUUCUCACUCACUCAUAGCCUGUGCCCUGACGCCUAGCCUGUCUGUUUGCCUUCCUCAGCUCCAGUAUCUCAGUGGUGUGUCACACACUUUGGGACACACGAUUGCAAAGCAUUAAAGGGGGUCCAGUUCCAGGCUGCCUUCCCAGCCCCCUUCUCUCUCCAUGCUUCCCUACCUCCUAGCUAUUUCAUCUAGCAGCCUUGGCUUGUGGGCGACGCUGCUGCUUGGUCACUCCCGGAUCUAUUCCCUGCCUUUCCAUUAUUCCCUGUAUUCAGGAAGCCACAUUUCCCAGGCUCCCUUGCAAGUGGCUUCUAGAUAGCUUUGCCAAAUGGGAGAAACUGGUGGAAGACGGGAGCACAGGAGGAGGGAGAAGCAGGGGCAUUUCUCCCUCUUGCUCUGCCUUAGGGGGCACCUUUAGCCACGGCCGUGUCUCCUCUCCGGUCCCACCUCCCAGAGGACAGCCCUUGCGUGGCUCCAGCUCCUCCAGCUCCCGCAGGAUAGCCUUUAUCUCCACGUGGCUAGCUCCCACGGGCAGCUGUUGCCCUAGUCCUGCCCCUGCCAGUCAGCGCUGGCUCCAGCUCUCGCUCCUCAGCCUUGGAGGGAGAGGCUUCCUGCUGUUGCUACCCUGGGCCCUUCACUAAGCCUGUUAGGCUUCUCGUCUCUUCCAUUUUCUGCCUUGGGAGGAGGACUAACUCCUUUCUGCUGGAUCUUCAAAAAAAUUCUCUCUCAUCCUCCAGUGGGGCUUCUCAUUAACAACCAGGAUGUAAAGAAACUGAGGGAGAGAGAUCACACAAUGGGACUUAAUUUACCACCCCUUAAAAAGAUGGCGUAAUGGACCUAACUCCCUCUGUUAUCUCUGGAUGGUGCCGGGCAGCGGAAGCCUUGCACACUCCGACUCUGCUUGCGGGCGGGAAUUGCACUCCACGGGAAGCGUCAGCGAGGGAGUCCAUCUGCCCAACGAGGUCUUGGCAAAGACCUCCUGACAACCAUGGAUUCCGAAUCCCGCAGGGCCAGCUUCCUGGGUCUGGUCUUCUGAAGGGCAUGGCUGGUCAGAUGAAUGACGGCAGAGGCUCCCCUGGCUGGGGCAGCUGCAGUAUUGCUCCGAGUGGGACUUACCAAACAGCAAAAUGGGGAGAAAGGGUCCAGGAGCAGGUUUCGGCAACAGAGAGAAACAUGAGACUAAGGCUGGGUCUAUUUCCUCUUUCUGUCACUGUGAGCUUUCGUUGAAUAGUCACUGUGCGUCAGGCAUCGGGCUAGGCUUAGCACAUCUGCUCUUCAAUGCAGCCCCAGGAGUCAGGUGCUGUUUUACUGGUGAAGAAGACCAAGGCUCAGAGAGGUGAAGUAACACACCAAGGUCACACAGCUGCCUGCGCCUCGUGUUGCAAGACCACUGUUUAGACUUCUCAACCAAGGAGGCAAAAUCACCUUCUGGGAGGCAAGGGUCAACUGCUGGACGGGGUAAGGGGGACGGUCCCAGCUUGGGGAUGGUGAAAGGGCUGACCUGAAAGUUAGACCAAAGUAGCCAAAUGAGGAGCGGUGAAAGGACGGAACCGAUGGUGGGUGAGUUCAAAACUGAGGAUCGGUGCGUUUGGAAGCAGGAGCAGUGCCCCUUCCAUCCAGACCUUCGAGCUGAGGGCACUGCCUGGAGUGGCUCUGCGUCUGGCGCGUGUGCCAGGAAGCCUUCCUUCUUGUUUCCCACAGACGUGAGGAAGUACUGUGCACUGGUACUUACUGAGCGCUGUGGGGACACAGCUGUCGGCAAGAUUGGAUCUCUGCUCUCGAGCAGUCCACAGGGUCGGGAGAAGAGGGACAUGUACCCAGACAGAGAUGACGGAGACACGGCUGGGAGCAGGGAGGGCUUCUCGGAGGAAACGUCUCUGAGGUGGACCCGGAAGAUGGGCUGGGCUUGCAGCUGUUGGAUUGAGAGCAAAGGGUAGUGCAGGCUGAGGAAACAGCCUAGACACAAAGGUGCAGGGGAGAAACGGGAAGGAAGUGGCCAGGACGGGCACGGAGCCCGAUGUGGCGGGAGUCUGAGCAGCUGGGCUGGCGCAGGCGAGAGGAGCUGGGAAGGUCGUGCUGGCUAGGUUAUGACUGCUCCACCACGUCACUCCUCUGACCCUCAG